RNAcentral lists this ribosomal RNA (556 nucleotides) under uncultured bacterium. RNAcentral describes it as "partial 16S ribosomal RNA". It matches the Rfam family "Bacterial small subunit ribosomal RNA", at positions 335 to 783 of the family's 1533-position model. The record is from RNAcentral.
UUCUUCCGGGAGGCAGCAGUGGGGAUUUUUGGACAAUGGGGGAAACCCUGAUCCAGCAAUACCGCGUGUGUGAAGAAGGCCUUCGGGUUGUAAAGCACUUUUAGCAGGAAAGAAAGGCUGUGCGCUAAUCCCGCAUUGCUUUGACGUUCCUUGCAGAAAAAGCCCCGGCUAACUCCGUGCCACCAGCCGCGGUAAUACGGAGGGUGCAAGCGUUAUUGGGAAUUACUGGGCGUAAAGCGCGCGUAGGCGGCUUUUUAAGUCGGAUGUGAAAUCCCCGGGUUCACCCUGGGAACUCCAUUCGAUACGGGCUGGCUAGAGUGUGGUGGAGGGAAGUGGAAUUCCAGGUGUAGCGGGGAAAUGCGUAGAUUUUUCCCCGGGGGCACAGGCGAAAAAAAAGGGGGCAAGGGGGGGGGGGGGAGAAGAGGGGGAGGGGGAGGGGCGGGGGGGGGGGGGGAGGAAGAAAGGCCAGGGCGGGGGCCCCCCCGGGGGGGCCCCGGGGAAAUUUUCCCCUCGGGGGGCCCCUGGGAGACACCGAAAGAAAUCUCCUCGUAAGGAU